This 1555-nucleotide ribosomal RNA is filed under the name Marinifilum sp. D714. RNAcentral's name for it is "bacterial SSU rRNA". It matches the Rfam family "Bacterial small subunit ribosomal RNA". Lineage: Bacteria; Pseudomonadati; Bacteroidota; Bacteroidia; Marinilabiliales; Marinifilaceae. The record is from RNAcentral.
CAGUAAGUCGUAACAAGGUAGCCGUAAUAGAGUUUGAUCCUGGCUCAGUAAGUCGUAACAAGGUAGCCGUAAUAGAGUUUGAUCCUGGCUCAGGAAGUCGUAACAAGGUAGCCGUAAUAGAGUUUGAUCCUGGCUCAGGAUGAACGCUAGCGACAGGCCUAACACAUGCAAGUCGAGGGGCAGCAUUUCCAGCUUGCUGGAAGAUGGCGACCGGCGCACGGGUGAGUAACGCGUAUGCAACCUGCCUUACACAGGGGGAUAGCCCGGAGAAAUCCGGAUUAAUACCGCAUAAUGAUCAAAUUUCGCAUGUUAUUUGAUUUAAAGCUUCGGCGGUGUAAGAUGGGCAUGCGUAACAUUAGCUUGUUGGUAAGGUAACGGCUUACCAAGGCAAUGAUGUUUAGGGGGUCUGAGAGGAUAGUCCCCCACACUGGUACUGAGACACGGACCAGACUCCUACGGGAGGCAGCAGUGAGGAAUAUUGGUCAAUGGGCGCAAGCCUGAACCAGCCAUGUCGCGUGCAGGAUGACGGCCCUAUGGGUUGUAAACUGCUUUUUUACGGGAAUAAACUUAGCUACGUGUAGUUAACUGAAGGUACCGUAUGAAUAAGGAUCGGCUAACUCCGUGCCAGCAGCCGCGGUAAUACGGAGGAUUCGAGCGUUAUCCGGAUUUAUUGGGUUUAAAGGGUCCGUAGGCGGAUUUGUAAGUCAGUGGUGAAAUCUCACAGCUCAACUGUGAAACUGCCAUUGAUACUGCUAAUCUUGAAUAUAGUUGAGGUAGGCGGAAUACGUUAUGUAGCGGUGAAAUGCAUAGAUAUAACGUAGAACACCGAUUGCGAAGGCAGCUUACUAAGCUAUUAUUGACGCUGAUGGACGAAAGCGUGGGGAGCGAACAGGAUUAGAUACCCUGGUAGUCCACGCCGUAAACGAUGAUUACUCGUUGUGCGCGAUACACAGUGCGCGACUGAGCGAAAGCAUUAAGUAAUCCACCUGGGGAGUACGUUGGCAACAAUGAAACUCAAAGGAAUUGACGGGGGCCCGCACAAGCGGAGGAACAUGUGGUUUAAUUCGAUGAUACGCGAGGAACCUUACCUGGGCUUAAAUGCAGUUUGACCGAUCUGGAAACGGAUCUUCUCUUCGGAGCAAAUUACAAGGUGCUGCAUGGUUGUCGUCAGCUCGUGCCGUGAGGUGUCGGGUUAAGUCCCAUAACGAGCGCAACCCCUAUCGUUAGUUGCUAGCAGGUAAUGCUGAGGACUCUAGCGAGACUGCCACCGUAAGGUGAGAGGAAGGUGGGGAUGACGUCAAAUCAGCACGGCCCUUACGUCCAGGGCUACACACGUGUUACAAUGGCUAGUACAAAGGGCAGCUACCUGGUGACAGGAUGCUAAUCUCAAAAGCUAGUCUCAGUUCGGAUCGGAGUCUGCAACUCGACUCCGUGAAGUUGGAUUCGCUAGUAAUCGUAUAUCAGCAAUGAUACGGUGAAUACGUUCCCGGGCCUUGUACACACCGCCCGUCAAGCCAUGGAAGCCGAGGGGACCUGAAGUUCGUAACCGCAAGGA